RNAcentral lists this ribosomal RNA (253 nucleotides) under uncultured bacterium. RNAcentral describes it as "partial 16S ribosomal RNA". It matches the Rfam family "Bacterial small subunit ribosomal RNA", at positions 524 to 776 of the family's 1533-position model. The record is from RNAcentral.
UACGUAGGUGACAAGCGUUGUCCGGAUUUACUGGGCGUAAAGAGCGCGCAGGUGGUUUCUUAAGUCUGAUGUGAAAGCCCACGGCUCAACCGUGGAGGGUCAUUGGAAACUGGGGAACUUGAGUGCAGAAGAGGAAAGUGGAAUUCCAAGUGUAGCGGUGAAAUGCGUAGAGAUUUGGAGGAACACCAGUGGCGAAGGCGACUUUCUGGUCUGUAACUGACACUGAGGCGCGAAAGCGUGGGGAGCGAACAGG